AGCCACUGCAAGAUCAUAGACAGGCGAGGAGAACUCACAAAGUGAAAUUUUCAUGAUAUGGGACCUUUACAAAUGGAGAAACCCCACUGGGGGUUUGCUUUCUUUGUCAUAGUCAUAUUAUAACAGGAGAGCUUCAGUGGACUGUUUUUUGCUCCUUCUCACACAAAGCUUUAAAGCUUCUCUUCUCUUCUGAACUCCUGGAAUUAUUGUUAUUAAAAGAAUAUACAUAACCACCACUCAACAACUGUACCUGUGAAACAUCCUUUUCUUUUUCUAUGUCUGCCUGUAGUUUACUGGAUUGCUGCCACUCCGUAUGUAAGGCAGACUGCAGACGUCUGACCUCUUCUUUCAGCAGCUGCAUCUGAGGGGGUGACAAGAGAUCCCUGAACAUUCCAACACCAGUGCUGAGAGUCUAAUACCUCAAAGCCCUCUGAAAUGAUAAAGUAUAGAGCACACAUUGAAAACAAGUAUUUUUAUAUGUUGUUGUUUUUUUUUUAUUUAGAACCUUUUGGUACAGAGAACAGUCAAGUUGCAGUUUCUGAAUCAAGUUCCUCUGUCCCUCUGCUCAGCUCACCCCAGGCAAAGUGCAUCGUGUCUCUGGAGGAAGGUGAUGAGGCACCAGGCUCACCCGCUUUGGUCUCCAGGGUCUCAGGUCUCUCCAGCAGUGAGGACCUCUCUGCAAGCAGGUAGGCCACCUGCUCGCUGGGGCUGAAUGGGAUGAGCUCGACCAGGCCGGCCUGGUACAGCAUCUCCGCCACCUCGUUCUUUUGAGAAUCUGCACAGAGCCGUCGGGGUACAGCAGGUCACCACCACAGAGGUGCCAGCCAACUCAGAUCAAAUCAAAAGGAGAGCGCGCACCUUGCUGAAGGCUCAUCUGCUUCAACUGGGUGUGCAGCAUUUGGUUUUCCUGCCCGUACUUCAGACCCACUAAGUUCUGCUUAUCGCUCAGAGCUCGAAUUUGCUCCAGCGUCUUCUGGACCUUAGAGCGCACAGGUAAGAUUAGACAUGCAGCUCAAAACUAGAAAUUCCAAAUCAAGCCUAAGGUCCAUCACCUACAUACCAUUGCCUUCUCUGCCACAUGCUCUGACUGCAGGGACUUCAGCUUGUGCGUGACUGUGCCGAGGCUGUUCUCCGUCCGUCUGUAGAGCUUCCACAGGUGCAGCAGUCGCUGCGUCAUGCUGGCCUCGGGGCUCAUGCCAUCCUCCACCAGUCGAAUCUCCAUCUCCUCCAGCUCCUUAAAACACUGUGUUAACAUACACAUGUAAAAACUGUAACCUCAGUUUUACAUACAGUGUAAAAUCUCAGGUAUGACAUCCUUCAAAAUACACAAUUCUUGGAAAUUCUUGGAAAUAACUUGUGUCCAAACCCUACCAGGACCUCUUCAAGCAUCUAGUACUAAAUACAAGCCUGAUAUGUCUUGUGAAUAAUUAUAUUAUUUGUACUAAUUCUCACAUGUUUUCAGUAUACACAAUACACAAUAAAGUAGUAAUGAUGGCAAUAUGCUUCCAGCUAAACCGAAUCCAACUUCCAACUGAAUACAUAAUAAGUAAUUUCAGUGAAUUGACUUCAUGUUCUUUUGACCCAGCUUGAAUGCUUCAUUAAAUGUGCAACUUUUAAUAAAGCGCAGCGCAGUCAAUUUUACACACUGAUCAGACGUCGCACCGGUUCAAUUUACAGUACUUAACAAAAAGUGGAGACCUGGCCUCCACUGUCACCGGACCUGAACCCAGUCGAGAUGGUUUGGGGUGAGCUGGACCGCAGAGUGAAGGUAAAGGGGCCAACAAGUGCUAAACACCUCUGGGAACUCCUUCAAGACUGUUGCAAAAGCGUUUCAGGUGACGACCUCUUGAAGCUCAUCGAGAGAAUGCCAAGAGUGUGCAAAGCAGUAAUCAGAGCAAAGAAACUAGAACAUAAAACAUGUUUUCAGUUAUUUCACCUUUUUUUGUUAAGUACAUAACUCCACAUGUGUUCAUUCAUAGUUUUGAUGCCUUCAGUAAGAAUCUACUAAUGUAAAUGGUCAUGAAAAUAAAGAAAACACAUUGAAUGAGAAAGUGUGUCCAAACUUUUGGCCUGUAUAGAAACACCAGCAGUUUUAAUUUAAAUUAGGGCAGUGGUGGCCUAGCGGGUAAGGAAAUGGACCUGGUUCGAGCUGAGCACCGUCCCCACACUCUGCUCCCCGGGCGCCUGUCAUGGCCGCCCGCUGCUCACUAAGGGAGAUGGUUAAAAGCAGAGGACACAUUUCGUUGUGUGCACCGUGUGCUGUGC
Long non-coding RNA from Denticeps clupeoides (denticle herring), 2265 nucleotides. Lineage: Eukaryota; Metazoa; Chordata; Actinopteri; Clupeiformes; Denticipitidae. The record is from Ensembl.